UCCAGACUCCUACGGGAGGCAGCAGUGGGGGAUAUUGCACAAUGGGGGGAACCCUGAUGCAGCGACGCCGCGUGGGUGAAGGAGCGUUUCGGCGCGUAAAGCCCUAUCGGCAGGGAAGAAGGAGGACGGUACCUGACUAAGAAGCCCCGGCCAACUACGUGCCAGCAGCCGCGGUAAUACGUAGGGGGCAAGCGUUAUCCGGAUUUACUGGGUGUAAAGGGAGCGUAGGCGGCCACGCAAGUCAGAAGUGAAAACCCGGGGCUCAACCCUGGGAGUGCUUUUGAAACUGUGCGGCUAGAGUGUCGGAGGGGUAAGUGGAAUUCCUAGUGUAGCGGUGAAAUGCGUAGAUAUUAGGAGGAACACCAGUGGCGAAGGCGGCUUACUGGACGAUGACUGACGCUGAGGCUCGAAAGCGUGGGGAGCAAACAGGAUUAGAUACCCGGGUA
Molecule: ribosomal RNA, 446 nt
Filed under: uncultured bacterium
Lineage: Bacteria
Description: partial 16S ribosomal RNA
Rfam family: Bacterial small subunit ribosomal RNA
Source: RNAcentral